GUGGGGUUGGCAGAGCGGUUGAAUGCGGGGGACUGUAAAUCCCUUCCGAAAGGCACGGUGGUUCAAAUCCAUCACCCCACACCACAGAAUCUUACAGCAAAUAUCUCAUUCGCUUAU
RNAcentral lists this transfer RNA (117 nucleotides) under Salmonella phage 7t3. RNAcentral's name for it is "tRNA-Tyr". The stretch from base 1 to 81 matches the Rfam family "tRNA". Rfam says of the family: Transfer RNA (tRNA) molecules are approximately 80 nucleotides in length. Their secondary structure includes four short double-helical elements and three loops (D, anti-codon, and T loops). Further hydrogen bonds mediate the characteristic L-shaped molecular structure. tRNAs have two regions of fundamental functional importance: the anti-codon, which is responsible for specific mRNA codon recognition, and the 3' end, to which the tRNAs corresponding amino acid is attached (by aminoacyl-tRNA synthetases). tRNAs cope with the degeneracy of the genetic code in two manners: having more than one tRNA (with a specific anti-codon) for a particular amino acid; and 'wobble' base-pairing, i.e. permitting non-standard base-pairing at the 3rd anti-codon position. Lineage: Duplodnaviria; Heunggongvirae; Uroviricota; Caudoviricetes. The record is from RNAcentral.